RNAcentral lists this ribosomal RNA (369 nucleotides) under uncultured Ostreococcus. RNAcentral describes it as "SSU rRNA". It matches the Rfam family "Eukaryotic small subunit ribosomal RNA", at positions 587 to 975 of the family's 1831-position model. Lineage: Eukaryota; Viridiplantae; Chlorophyta; Mamiellophyceae; Mamiellales. The record is from RNAcentral.
AGCUCCAAUAGCGUAUAUUUAAGUUGUUGCAGUUAAAAAGCUCGUAGUCGGACUUUGGCUGAGGACGGUCGGUCCGCCGUUAGGUGUGCACUGACUGGUCUCAGCUUCCUGGUGAGGAGGUGUGCUUCACGGCCACUUAGUCACCGUGGUUACUUUGAAAAAAUUAGAGUGUUCAAAGCGGGCUUACGCUUGAAUAUAUUAGCAUGGAAUAACACCAUAGGACUCCUGUCCUAUUUCGUUGGUCUCGGGACGGGAGUAAUGAUUAAGAGGAACAGUUGGGGGCAUUCGUAUUUCAUUGUCAGAGGUGAAAUUCUUGGAUUUAUGAAAGACGAACUUCUGCGAAAGCAUUUGCCAAGGAUGUCUUCAUUG